UACGGGGGGGGCAAGCGUUGUUCGGAAUUACUGGGCGUAAAGGGCUCGUAGGCGGCCAACUAAGUCAGACGUGAAAUCCCUCGGCUCAACCCAGGAACUGCAUUUGAAACUGCUGGCCUUGAGUGGUGGAGAGGGAAGCGGAAUUCCUGGUGUAGAGGUGAAAUUCGUAGAUAUCAGGAGGAACACCGGUGGCGAAGGCGACUUCCUGGACACCAACUGACGCUGAGACGCGAAAGCGUGGGGAGCAAACAGG
This 253-nucleotide ribosomal RNA is filed under the name uncultured bacterium. RNAcentral describes it as "partial 16S ribosomal RNA". It matches the Rfam family "Bacterial small subunit ribosomal RNA", at positions 524 to 776 of the family's 1533-position model. The record is from RNAcentral.